RNAcentral lists this ribosomal RNA (630 nucleotides) under uncultured soil bacterium. RNAcentral describes it as "bacterial SSU rRNA". It matches the Rfam family "Bacterial small subunit ribosomal RNA", at positions 53 to 680 of the family's 1533-position model. The record is from RNAcentral.
ACAUGCAGUCGAGUGCGUAGCUCCUGUAGCAAUACAGGAGUGGGCGCACGGCGCACGGGUGCGUAACACGUGGGCAAUCUGCCCUCCGAUGGGGAAUAACCCCGCGAAAGCGGGGCUAAUUCCGCAUAACAUUCCCUGGACCUUGGUCUGGGGACUCAAAGCCGUAAGGCGUCGGAGGAGGAGCCCGCGCCCGAUUAGCUAGUUGGUGAGGUAACGGCUCACCAAGGCAAUGAUCGGUAGCUGGUCUGAGAGGAUGGCCAGCCACACUGGAACUGAGACACGGUCCAGACUCCUACGGGAGGCAGCAGUGGGGAAUCUUGCGCAAUGGGCGAAAGCCUGACGCAGCGACGCCGCGUGGGGGAUGAAGCUUCUCGGAGUGUAAACCCCUUUCGACUGGGACGAAUGCCUCGCGAGAGGAGUGACGGUACCAGUAGAAGAAGCCCCGGCUAACUACGUGCCAGCAGCCGCGGUAAGACGUAGGGGGCCAGCGUUGUUCGGAAUUACUGGGUGUAAAGGGUUCGUAGGCGGUGCGGCAAGUUGGGAGUGAAAUCUCUGGGCUUAACCCAGAGGCUGCUUCCAAAACUGCUGUGCUUGAGUGUGGGAGAGGCGCGUGGAAUUGCAGGUGUAGCG